GGAGAUAUGGCUCAGUGGUUAAGAGCACUGAAUCCUCUUCCAGAGGUCCUGAGUUCAAUUCCCAGUAACCACA
Molecule: transfer RNA, 73 nt
Filed under: Rattus norvegicus (Norway rat)
Lineage: Eukaryota; Metazoa; Chordata; Mammalia; Rodentia; Muridae
Rfam family: tRNA
About the family: Transfer RNA (tRNA) molecules are approximately 80 nucleotides in length. Their secondary structure includes four short double-helical elements and three loops (D, anti-codon, and T loops). Further hydrogen bonds mediate the characteristic L-shaped molecular structure. tRNAs have two regions of fundamental functional importance: the anti-codon, which is responsible for specific mRNA codon recognition, and the 3' end, to which the tRNAs corresponding amino acid is attached (by aminoacyl-tRNA synthetases). tRNAs cope with the degeneracy of the genetic code in two manners: having more than one tRNA (with a specific anti-codon) for a particular amino acid; and 'wobble' base-pairing, i.e. permitting non-standard base-pairing at the 3rd anti-codon position.
Source: Rfam by way of RNAcentral